UAGCAUGAAGUCAGACAAG
Molecule: ribosomal RNA, 19 nt
Filed under: Symbiodinium sp. type C1
Lineage: Eukaryota; Dinophyceae; Suessiales; Symbiodiniaceae
Description: partial 28S ribosomal RNA
Source: RNAcentral